GGCGGUGUAGCCAAGUGGUAAGGCACGGGUCUGCAAAACCCUAAUCAUCGGUUCAAAUCCGAUCACCGCCUUCG
Molecule: transfer RNA, 74 nt
Filed under: Lactobacillus gasseri 202-4
Lineage: Bacteria; Bacillati; Bacillota; Bacilli; Lactobacillales; Lactobacillaceae
Description: tRNA-Cys
Rfam family: tRNA
About the family: Transfer RNA (tRNA) molecules are approximately 80 nucleotides in length.
Source: RNAcentral